UGUGCCUUGACGCGCGUGCCUCCUCCUGAGCAAACCCGUGCGACACAAACCAGAGCGCGAGCGCAGGGACUAAAGUACAGGAAACUGGACUCAAACUCACGACCAGGCUCCGGACCCGCGGCACCAGAUGGAGCGGCUUCGUCCCCGCGCGGCUCCUCGGUGAUGGACACACUUCCUGUUUCCCCCGGAGCCGUCUCCACGACAACCGCCGCCAAUGCCUCCCGUACUGGUCGCCAUGGAAACGCCUCAGCUGGACCAGAGCGUCGCCGCUGAGGCUUCGGAGACGAGCGAAGUGGAGACGCUGCUGUCGUCCAUCCACCUGGACAGUGGUGUUUCUGGAUCAGGCUGAUUUCUCUGAGUUCCCGAUGGCCGUGAUUGACAGACGUUUGAACCAAUCAGAGAAAAGACAGAUAUGACCCAAACGACAAACGAGGAAGUUAGUGUUUUUUUAUGAAGUGUCGGCCGAAGAGCAGAGACUGAUGAGAACGAGCUAAAGGCUUAGAACAAGACGUCAUUAGGCGCAUUGCACUGUCCAUAGAACAGGACUCCCCCCUCAGGACUCUGCCCUCAGGACUCUCC
RNAcentral lists this long non-coding RNA (579 nucleotides) under Neogobius melanostomus (round goby). Its description in RNAcentral is "lncRNA (ENSNMLG00000006731.1)". Lineage: Eukaryota; Metazoa; Chordata; Actinopteri; Gobiiformes; Gobiidae. The record is from RNAcentral.